CCUGUGUUGCCGUCUUCUCGUUGGUAGAAGAAACGUGUUUUGUGCAGAAUUUUCAGUUCUUCAUUUUCGAUUUCGGUUCAGAAUUUUGUUUGUAAACACGCGUGUGGCGAAAUAAAAUUAGCCAAAUAUAGUUGAAAAAAUUGCUUUCGUGUUUUGCCCUGCACAACACAUCGUACAACAACAUCGGCAGGGAAAA
Molecule: long non-coding RNA, 196 nt
Organism: Rhagoletis pomonella (apple maggot)
Lineage: Eukaryota; Metazoa; Arthropoda; Insecta; Diptera; Tephritidae
Exons: 2
Source: RefSeq, a predicted model, not a curated record